Pyrus x bretschneideri (Chinese white pear) is the source of this 194-nucleotide small nuclear RNA. RefSeq annotates it as U2 spliceosomal RNA. The transcript has a single exon. Lineage: Eukaryota; Viridiplantae; Streptophyta; Magnoliopsida; Rosales; Rosaceae. The record is from RefSeq and is a predicted model, not a curated record.
AUAUCUUUUUCAGCUUUUUGGCUAAGAUCAAGUGUAGUAUUUGUUCUUAUUAGUUUAAUAUCUGAUAUGUGGACUAAUGAUUCACGUAAUAUUAAAUUAAUUUUUUAAUUUAGGGGAAGAGCGCAUUACAAUAGCUUGCCAUUGGAGUUCUCGUGCGUCGUCCAGAAGUUGCACUACAGAAACAUGUAGUCCAA